AAUCUAGGCCAUUCAAUUGGCCAGAAACGAAAACUACCUAACAGAAGACAAAAUACUUGAAAAACAACAACCAUAACCUUAUUCACCCCAUUUGUUCAUUGCCGAAAAGAAAAAUCAGCAAAUCCUUUCAAUGGAACCUGAAAUCUUCCAUAGAAGCAUAAACAUUUCAUAGUUUAAGAGGACAACCACUAUGCAUGGAAUGAAGCUUCAAGAUUUUGAGAGAAUUCGUUCAUCAAGAAUUGACUUACUCUCAACUUCAGUUUGGUGGGUCAACCCAUUAACGGUUUGCUUCCACAAACAGCGUCACACUCCCUAUAACUUCCAGCAUUCAGGUUCACCGGAACAGACCACCUUCCCAAUUGAAACGAUGAAGAGCCGGAAUUUGUAGCACUCAACGUGUCCAGUUCAAGGAUGUAAGCUUGAACAAAGCCCAUAUUAUCACGAGAACAUCCCAAACUCCCUUUGUGAAGGCACAAUCUCUAACAACAUGGGUAGUAAUCUCUGGUAUGGAGUUACAUCAUGGGCAAAUGACAUUAGUAGCAACUAUUUUUUUAUGUAAAGAUUGUGAAGAGUAGGUAAAUAAUUGUUAAAAAAGUCUCCGUGUUGUAAUUUUAAUCUUUGAUGGCGCUAUAAUUUACCAUAGUCUUACGUAGAAAUUCCUAGUCACGUGGCUUAAAUUAUUUUGGCUAUUAGUAUUAGGAGAUUAGUCUUCAAUAAGUAGAGUUAUGUAGCCAUUUCUAAUAGAAUACUACUCUCUAUUAUCUCUCUGCCAAACCAAUGUAUUUAUUCACCUGAUAAGUCUCAAAACAGAAACACAAAUAAUGCAGCUA
Molecule: long non-coding RNA, 830 nt
Organism: Gossypium arboreum
Lineage: Eukaryota; Viridiplantae; Streptophyta; Magnoliopsida; Malvales; Malvaceae
Exons: 3
Source: RefSeq, a predicted model, not a curated record